Molecule: long non-coding RNA, 1223 nt
Filed under: Panax ginseng (ginseng)
Lineage: Eukaryota; Viridiplantae; Streptophyta; Magnoliopsida; Apiales; Araliaceae
Description: long non-coding RNA (PGIN_LNC015436)
Source: RNAcentral
CAAAGUUUCAAUUUUUUUAAUUAGGUGAUUGAACUAUCAAUUUUUUUCAAUUGCAACAAAUUGAGUUGCCACGUCAGAAAUUGCUGACGUGACCCUCGAAAUGGAGCCAUCACCAGCUGAUGUGUAAAUAAAAAAAAUUAUUUUAAUAUCUAUUUACACAUUUAUUAUACAUUAAGGGCAAAUUCGUCAAAUCACUUAUAUUAAUCAUUUAAACUAAAUAAAAACAACAAAACUAUCUAAAAUUUAUACCAGAUCAAAAAUAACAAAAAAUCUAAAACAACAAAAUCUAAAAUCAUCAAAAACUCCUUUUAGCCAAAUAUUGAAGAUCAAGAUCUGCAACCAAAAUCUAUACCAUAUCAGAUCGAAAAAUCAUAUACAUCUCAGAACAAAAAAUCUAUAUCAUCUCAGAUCUGCUACCCAUAUUAAAAAUCCACAUUUUUCUUGCCAAAAUCUAUACCAUCUCAGAUCCCAGAAACCACGCUGAUGCCGACACCAACCACCGCCACCCACUCCAUCUGUCACAUUAAUACUGAUUUAUCAGCCACUCCGCCACCGACUCCCCCUUCCCCUCUGGCGUUACCCACAACUCCCGUUACUGAUGAUGACAAUAGCUCUUCCCGGCGGCGUCAGAAUUGCGACGGGUUUUCUCCUACUUGCCUCCAUGUCUGACUGACUAGUUUGGUUUUUCCGGCGCCGGAGCUCCCUUCUCCCUUUUCCAGCCGACAAAAUGGCCGGAACUGCCCACUUGCAUCACCCAUUUUCCCUCUCAACACAGCAUCCAAGCCAAAACUGAGGAAGUCAAGGAAAACGAGAAAGAAAAAAUCCCAAUUGAAGAAGAACAGAAAAUUUGAUGAUUUCCUAAACAAAUCGAUUUUAUCAAGAUUAUUUUUAUUUUUUUUGGAACGAAUUUUUGGUGAUAGAUCUGAGUUUGGGAUUUUUGGUGAUAAAUUUGGGAUUUUGUUUGGAACAGAUGUUUGGUGAUAGAUCUGGGUUUAGAAGAAGCACAAAUCGAUUUAGGGUGCUUUUAAAUGAGGUUUGACCUUUUUACCUUUGGACAUUUAAUAAAUAUAAAAAUUUAUUUGAAAUAAUAAUUUUUAAUUACAUGUAGACAGUUAUCAGCCUAGUCAGCAGGCCACGUCAGCAAUUUCUGACGUGGCAGACCCAAUUGAAUGAAAUUAAAAAAAAAAUAGUUCAAUCAUCUAAUUGAAAAAAUUUAAAGAUAA